This 463-nucleotide ribosomal RNA is filed under the name uncultured bacterium. Its description in RNAcentral is "bacterial SSU rRNA". It matches the Rfam family "Bacterial small subunit ribosomal RNA", at positions 29 to 507 of the family's 1533-position model. The record is from RNAcentral.
AAUGAACGUUGGCGGCGUGGAUUAGGCAUGCAAGUCGUGCGCGAACUGUAGCAAUACAGGGAAAGCGGCGUAAGGGAGAGUAAUACGUAGGUAUCUACCCAUGGGUCUGGGAUAGCGGCGGGAAACUGCCGGUAAUACCAGAUAACGUCUCCGGACCAAAGGUGUGAUUCCACCUGUGGAGGAGCCUACGGCCUAUUAGCUAGUUGGCAGGGUAACGGCCUACCAAGGCUUGGAUGGGUACGGGGUGUGAGAGCAUGCCCCCGCUCACUGGGACUGAGACACUGCCCAGACACCUACGGGUGGCUGCAGUCGAGAAUCUUCGGCAAUGGGCGCAAGCCUGACCGAGCGACGCCGCGUGCGGGAUGAAGGCCUUGGGUUGUAACCGCUGUCGUAGGGAUGAAACGCUAGUGAGUUAUCUCAUUAGUUUGACUGAACCUAGGAGGAAGGGCCGGCUAAUCUCGUG